RNAcentral lists this transfer RNA (83 nucleotides) under Phycisphaerales bacterium. RNAcentral's name for it is "tRNA-Leu". It matches the Rfam family "tRNA". From Rfam's summary of the family: Transfer RNA (tRNA) molecules are approximately 80 nucleotides in length. Their secondary structure includes four short double-helical elements and three loops (D, anti-codon, and T loops). Further hydrogen bonds mediate the characteristic L-shaped molecular structure. tRNAs have two regions of fundamental functional importance: the anti-codon, which is responsible for specific mRNA codon recognition, and the 3' end, to which the tRNAs corresponding amino acid is attached (by aminoacyl-tRNA synthetases). tRNAs cope with the degeneracy of the genetic code in two manners: having more than one tRNA (with a specific anti-codon) for a particular amino acid; and 'wobble' base-pairing, i.e. permitting non-standard base-pairing at the 3rd anti-codon position. The record is from RNAcentral. Lineage: Bacteria; Pseudomonadati; Planctomycetota; Phycisphaerae; Phycisphaerales.
GCCCGGGUGGCGGAAUUGGCAGACGCGCAUGGUUGAGGGCCAUGUGUUCCUAGAACGUGGAGGUUCGAGUCCUCUCCCGGGCA